Molecule: ribosomal RNA, 253 nt
Filed under: uncultured bacterium
Lineage: Bacteria
Description: partial 16S ribosomal RNA
Rfam family: Bacterial small subunit ribosomal RNA
Source: RNAcentral
UACGUAGGUGGCAAGCGUUGUCCGGAUUUACUGGGGGUAAAGGAUGCGUAGGCGGACAUUUAAGUCAGAUGUGAAAUACCCGAGCUUAACUUGGGUGCUGCAUUUGAAACUGGGUGUCUAGAGUGCAGGAGAGGUAAGUGGAAUUCCUAGUGUAGCGGUGAAAUGCGUAGAGAUUAGGAAGAACACCAGUGGCGAAGGCGACUUACUGGACUGUAACUGACGCUGAGGCAUGAAAGCGUGGGGAGCAAACAGG